Molecule: ribosomal RNA, 253 nt
Filed under: uncultured bacterium
Lineage: Bacteria
Description: partial 16S ribosomal RNA
Rfam family: Bacterial small subunit ribosomal RNA
Source: RNAcentral
UACGUAGGGUGCAAGCGUUAAUCGGAAUUACUGGGCGUAAAGGGCGCGUAGGCGGCCUGCUAAGUCGAACGUGAAAUCCCUGGGCUCAACCCAGGAACUGCGUCCGAUACUGGUUGGCUUGAAUCCGGGAGAGGGAUGUGGAAUUCCAGGUGUAGCGGUGAAAUGCGUAGAUAUCUGGAGGAACACCGGUGGCGAAGGCGACAUCCUGGACCGGUAUUGACGCUGAGGCGCGAAAGCCAGGGGAGCAAACGGG